UACGGAGGGUGCGAGCGUUGUCCGGAAUCACUGGGCGUAAAGGGCGCGUAGGCGGCCUGAUAAGUAGGGGGUGAAAUCCUGCGGCUUAACCGCAGGGCUGCCUUCUAAACUGUCAGGCUUGAGCACAGUAGAGGCAGGUGGAAUUCCCGGUGUAGCGGUGGAAUGCGUAGAGAUCCGGAAGAACACCGGUGGCGAAGGCGGCCCGCUGGGCAGGAAGGCUCGCAAGAGCCGGCUGACACUGAGGCGCGACAGCGUGGGGAGCAAACAGG
This 269-nucleotide ribosomal RNA is filed under the name uncultured bacterium. RNAcentral's name for it is "partial 16S ribosomal RNA". It matches the Rfam family "Bacterial small subunit ribosomal RNA", at positions 524 to 776 of the family's 1533-position model. The record is from RNAcentral.